RNAcentral lists this ribosomal RNA (450 nucleotides) under uncultured bacterium. Its description in RNAcentral is "bacterial SSU rRNA". It matches the Rfam family "Bacterial small subunit ribosomal RNA", at positions 64 to 507 of the family's 1533-position model. The record is from RNAcentral.
GAGCGGUAACAGGUGUAGCAAUACAUGCUGACGAGCGGCGAACGGGUGAGUAAUGCUUGGAAUCUUCCCAGUAGUGGGGAAUAACCAGUCGAAAGAUUGGCUAAUACCGCAUACGUCUGUAAAGGGAAAGCGGGGGCUCGUAAGACCUCGCGCUAUUGGAUGAGCCAAAGUCGGAUUAGCUAGUUGGUGGGGUAAUGGCCUACCAAGGCGACAAUCCGUAGCUGGUCUGAGAGGACGACCAGCCACACCGGAACUGAGACACGGUCCGGACUCCUACGGGAGGCAGCAGUGGGGAAUAUUGGACAAUGGGGGAAACCCUGAUCCAGCGACGCCGCGUGUGUGAAGAAGGCCUGCGGGUUGUAAAGCACUUUUAGUGGGGACAAAAAGCCGUGGAUUAACACCUAGCGGUCUUGAUUUAACCCACANGAAAAAGCACCGGCUAACUAUGUG